GACGAACGCUGGCGGCGUGCCUAAUACAUGCAAGUAGAACGCUGAAGGAGGAGCUUGCUUCUCUGGAUGAGUUGCGAACGGGUGAGUAACGCGUAGGUAACCUGCCUGGUAGCGGGGGAUAACUAUUGGAAACGAUAGCUAAUACCGCAUAAGAGUAGAUGUUGCAUGACAUUUGCUUAAAAGGUGCAAUUGCAUCACUACCAGAUGGACCUGCGUUGUAUUAGCUAGUUGGUGAGGUAACGGCUCACCGAGGCAACGAUACAUAGCCGACCUGAGAGGGUGAUCGGCCACACUGGGACUGAGACACGGCCCAGACUCCUACGGGAGGCAGCAGUAGGGAAUCUUCGGCAAUGGACGGAAGUCUGACCGAGCAACGCCGCGUGAGUGAAGAAGGUUUUUCGGAUCGUAAAGCUCUGUUGUAAGAGAAGAACGAGG
RNAcentral lists this ribosomal RNA (435 nucleotides) under Streptococcus mitis. Its description in RNAcentral is "bacterial SSU rRNA". It matches the Rfam family "Bacterial small subunit ribosomal RNA", at positions 28 to 454 of the family's 1533-position model. The record is from RNAcentral. Lineage: Bacteria; Bacillati; Bacillota; Bacilli; Lactobacillales; Streptococcaceae.